CACUUUUAGAAAUUAUUAAAAGCUAAUCCUGCUCCAUGUAAAUAAAUAGCCGCAAAUCCAAUUGUGCUAAGGUAGCAUAAUCAAUUGUCUUCUAAUUAAAGAAUAGAAUGAAAGGAACCACGAAUUAUAAACUGUUUCUUAUUUUUUAUAUAAAACUGUAUUUUAAGUAAAAAUACUUAUAAACAAAGAAAGACGAUAAGACCCUAUUGAACUUCACAUAAGUUAAGCUGGGGAAGCAAAAUAACAAAAUCUUAUUUUUUUAAAAAAAAUAACCUUUAUGAAUUUUGAAUAAGUUACCAUAGGGAUAACAGCAUAAUAAAAUUUUAAAGCUCUUAUUUAAAAUAAAGUUUAUGACCUCGAUGUUGAAUUAAAUUUCUUAUAAAAGCAUAAAUUUAUAAAGUAAGACUGUUCGUCUUUUAAACAUUU
Molecule: ribosomal RNA, 426 nt
Filed under: Losdolobus sp. 1 NCP-2017
Lineage: Eukaryota; Metazoa; Arthropoda; Arachnida; Araneae; Orsolobidae
Description: partial 16S ribosomal RNA
Source: RNAcentral